Molecule: transfer RNA, 77 nt
Filed under: Bacillota bacterium
Lineage: Bacteria; Bacillati; Bacillota
Also listed under: 2 other names
Description: tRNA-Pro
Rfam family: tRNA
About the family: Transfer RNA (tRNA) molecules are approximately 80 nucleotides in length.
Source: RNAcentral
CGGGGAGUGGCGCAGUUUGGUAGCGCGCCUGCUUCGGGAGCAGGAGGUCGCAGGUUCAAAUCCUGUCUCUCCGACCA